RNAcentral lists this RNase P RNA (376 nucleotides) under Flavihumibacter solisilvae. Its description in RNAcentral is "Bacterial RNase P class A". It matches the Rfam family "Bacterial RNase P class A". From Rfam's summary of the family: Ribonuclease P (RNase P) is a ubiquitous endoribonuclease, found in archaea, bacteria and eukarya as well as chloroplasts and mitochondria. Its best characterised activity is the generation of mature 5'-ends of tRNAs by cleaving the 5'-leader elements of precursor-tRNAs. Cellular RNase Ps are ribonucleoproteins. Lineage: Bacteria; Pseudomonadati; Bacteroidota; Chitinophagia; Chitinophagales; Chitinophagaceae. The record is from Rfam by way of RNAcentral.
UCUUCUCUCCGGGCUAUCGCGGACUGCGCUGCAGGUCGAGGAAAGUCCGGACAGCAUAGGGCAAUACACCGGCUAACGGCCGGGAAGCGGGUAACCGCUUACAGACAGUGCCACAGAAAAUGACUACCUCCAACGAGGAAAAGGUGAAAAUGUAGGGUAAGAGCCUACGGUACCCGGCAGUAAUGCCAGGUACGGGUAAACCUUGUAUGCUGAAAUGCCAUGUAUACCGGUGGUAGAGGGUUGCCCGCCCGAUGACAGCCCGACUGUCAACACCGGAGGGUAGGCAGAUAGAUCGUGCCAGUAAUGGUACGGCCAGAUAAAUGAUAGCCCUCACUUUCGGGUGAGACAGAAUCCGGCUUACAGGAGAGAAGAUUUU